CUACAAUGGGUGGUACAAAGAGAAGCCAACUCGCGAGAGCGCGCCGAAUCUCAAAAAGCCAAUCCUCAGUUCGGAUUGGAGUCUGCAACUCGACUCCAUGAAGUUGGAAUCGCUAGUAAUCGCGGAUCAGCAUGCCGCGGUGAAUACGUUCCCGGGCCUU
Molecule: ribosomal RNA, 160 nt
Filed under: uncultured Smithella sp.
Lineage: Bacteria; Pseudomonadati; Thermodesulfobacteriota; Syntrophia; Syntrophales; Smithellaceae
Description: partial 16S ribosomal RNA
Rfam family: Bacterial small subunit ribosomal RNA
Source: RNAcentral